This 253-nucleotide ribosomal RNA is filed under the name uncultured bacterium. RNAcentral describes it as "partial 16S ribosomal RNA". It matches the Rfam family "Bacterial small subunit ribosomal RNA", at positions 524 to 776 of the family's 1533-position model. The record is from RNAcentral.
UACGUAGGGGGCAAGCGUUGUCCGGAAUUAUUGGGCGUAAAGAGCGUGUAGGCGGCCAGGUAGGUCUGCUGUGAAAACUCGAGGCUCAACCUCGAGAUGUCGAUGGAAACCGUCUGGCUAGAGUCCGGAAGAGGAGUGUGGAAUUCCUGGUGUAGCGGUGACAUGCGCAGAUAUCAGGAAGAACACCUAUGGCGAAGGCAGCACUCUGGGACGGUACUGACGCUGAGACGCGAAAGCGUGGGGAGCGAACAGG